Molecule: ribosomal RNA, 3011 nt
Filed under: Salmonella enterica
Lineage: Bacteria; Pseudomonadati; Pseudomonadota; Gammaproteobacteria; Enterobacterales; Enterobacteriaceae
Description: 23S ribosomal RNA
Rfam family: Bacterial large subunit ribosomal RNA
Source: RNAcentral
GGGUUGUGAGGUUAAGCGACUAAGCGUACACGGUGGAUGCCCUGGCAGUCAGAGGCGAUGAAGGACGUGCUAAUCUGCGAUAAGCGCCGGUAAGGUGAUAUGAACCGUUAUAACCGGCGAUUUCCGAAUGGGGAAACCCAGUGUGACUCGUCACACUAUCAUUAACUGAAUCCAUAGGUUAAUGAGGCGAACCGGGGGAACUGAAACAUCUAAGUACCCCGAGGAAAAGAAAUCAACCGAGAUUCCCCCAGUAGCGGCGAGCGAACGGGGAGGAGCCCAGAGCCUGAAUCAGCAUGUGUGUUAGUGGAAGCGUCUGGAAAGGCGCGCGAUACAGGGUGACAGCCCCGUACACAAAAGCGCACAUGCUGUGAGCUCGAUGAGUAGGGCGGGACACGUGGUAUCCUGUCUGAAUAUGGGGGGACCAUCCUCCAAGGCUAAAUACUCCUGACUGACCGAUAGUGAACCAGUACCGUGAGGGAAAGGCGAAAAGAACCCCGGCGAGGGGAGUGAAAAAGAACCUGAAACCGUGUACGUACAAGCAGUGGGAGCACCCUUUGGGGUGUGACUGCGUACCUUUUGUAUAAUGGGUCAGCGACUUAUAUUCUGUAGCAAGGUUAACCGAAUAGGGGAGCCGGAGGGAAACCGAGUCUUAACCGGGCGUUAAGUUGCAGGGUAUAGACCCGAAACCCGGUGAUCUAGCCAUGGGCAGGUUGAAGGUUGGGUAACACUAACUGGAGGACCGAACCGACUAAUGUUGAAAAAUUAGCGGAUGACCUGUGGCUGGGGGUGAAAGGCCAAUCAAACCGGGAGAUAGCUGGUUCUCCCCGAAAGCUAUUUAGGUAGCGCCUCGUGAAUUCAUCUCCGGGGGUAGAGCACUGUUUCGGCUAGGGGGCCAUCCCGGCUUACCAACCCGAUGCAAACUGCGAAUACCGGAGAAUGUUAUCACGGGAGACACACGGCGGGUGCUAACGUCCGUCGUGAAGAGGGAAACAACCCAGACCGCCAGCUAAGGUCCCAAAGUCAUGGUUAAGUGGGAAACGAUGUGGGAAGGCCCAGACAGCCAGGAUGUUGGCUUAGAAGCAGCCAUCAUUUAAAGAAAGCGUAAUAGCUCACUGGUCGAGUCGGCCUGCGCGGAAGAUGUAACGGGGCUAAACCAUGCACCGAAGCUGCGGCAGCGAACGUAUCACCCAAGACAACUUUACGGAGUUAACGAUUGACGGAGCGAAGCGACGUCAAAGCGUUCAUUAAAGUCGAGUUGGCUUAGGGAUACGUUCGUUGGGUAGGGGAGCGUUCUGUAAGCCUGUGAAGGUGGCCUGUGAGGGUUGCUGGAGGUAUCAGAAGUGCGAAUGCUGACAUAAGUAACGAUAAAGCGGGUGAAAAGCCCGCUCGCCGGAAGACCAAGGGUUCCUGUCCAACGUUAAUCGGGGCAGGGUGAGUCGACCCCUAAGGCGAGGCCGAAAGGCGUAGUCGAUGGGAAACGGGUUAAUAUUCCCGUACUUGGUGUUACUGCGAAGGGGGGACGGAGAAGGCUAUGUUGGCCGGGCGACGGUUGUCCCGGUUUAAGCGUGUAGGUGUGUGUUCCAGGUAAAUCCGGUUCACUUUAACACUGAGGCGUGAUGACGAGGCACUACGGUGCUGAAGCAACAAAUGCCCUGCUUCCAGGAAAAGCCUCUAAGCAUCAGGUAACAUCAAAUCGUACCCCAAACCGACACAGGUGGUCAGGUAGAGAAUACCAAGGCGCUUGAGAGAACUCGGGUGAAGGAACUAGGCAAAAUGGUGCCGUAACUUCGGGAGAAGGCACGCUGACACGUAGGUGAAGUGAUUUACUCAUGGAGCUGAAGUCAGUCGAAGAUACCAGCUGGCUGCAACUGUUUAUUAAAAACACAGCACUGUGCAAACACGAAAGUGGACGUAUACGGUGUGACGCCUGCCCGGUGCCGGAAGGUUAAUUGAUGGGGUCAGCGCAAGCGAAGCUCCUGAUCGAAGCCCCGGUAAACGGCGGCCGUAACUAUAACGGUCCUAAGGUAGCGAAAUUCCUUGUCGGGUAAGUUCCGACCUGCACGAAUGGCGUAAUGAUGGCCAGGCUGUCUCCACCCGAGACUCAGUGAAAUUGAACUCGCUGUGAAGAUGCAGUGUACCCGCGGCAAGACGGAAAGACCCCGUGAACCUUUACUAUAGCUUGACACUGAACAUUGAGCCUUGAUGUGUAGGAUAGGUGGGAGGCUUUGAAGUGUGGACGCCAGUCUGCAUGGAGCCGACCUUGAAAUACCACCCUUUAAUGUUUGAUGUUCUAACGUGGACCCGUAAUCCGGGUUGCGGACAGUGUCUGGUGGGUAGUUUGACUGGGGCGGUCUCCUCCUAAAGAGUAACGGAGGAGCACGAAGGUUGGCUAAUCCUGGUCGGACAUCAGGAGGUUAGUGCAAUGGCAUAAGCCAGCUUGACUGCGAGCGUGACGGCGCGAGCAGGUGCGAAAGCAGGUCAUAGUGAUCCGGUGGUUCUGAAUGGAAGGGCCAUCGCUCAACGGAUAAAAGGUACUCCGGGGAUAACAGGCUGAUACCGCCCAAGAGUUCAUAUCGACGGCGGUGUUUGGCACCUCGAUGUCGGCUCAUCACAUCCUGGGGCUGAAGUAGGUCCCAAGGGUAUGGCUGUUCGCCAUUUAAAGUGGUACGCGAGCUGGGUUUAGAACGUCGUGAGACAGUUCGGUCCCUAUCUGCCGUGGGCGCUGGAGAACUGAGGGGGGCUGCUCCUAGUACGAGAGGACCGGAGUGGACGCAUCACUGGUGUUCGGGUUGUCAUGCCAAUGGCACUGCCCGGUAGCUAAAUGCGGAAGAGAUAAGUGCUGAAAGCAUCUAAGCACGAAACUUGCCCCGAGAUGAGUUCUCCCUGAGACUUAGAGUCUCCUGAAGGAACGUUGAAGACGACGACGUUGAUAGGCCGGGUGUGUAAGCGCAGCGAUGCGUUGAGCUAACCGGUACUAAUGAACCGUGAGGCUUAACCUUACAACGCCGAAG